RNAcentral lists this ribosomal RNA (697 nucleotides) under uncultured bacterium. RNAcentral describes it as "bacterial SSU rRNA". It matches the Rfam family "Bacterial small subunit ribosomal RNA", at positions 134 to 851 of the family's 1533-position model. The record is from RNAcentral.
UACACACGGAUAACAUACCGAAAGGUAUGCUAAUACGGGAUAAUAUAUUUGAGAGGCAUCUCUUAAAUAUCAAAGGUGAGCCAGUACAGGAUGGACCCGCGUCUGAUUAGCUAGUUGGUAAGGUAACGGCUUACCAAGGCGACGAUCAGUAGCCGACCUGAGAGGGUGAUCGGCCACAUUGGAACAGAGACACGGUCCAAACUCCUACGGGAGGCAGCAGUGGGGAAUAUUGCACAAUGGGCGAAAGCCUGAUGCAGCAACGCCGCGUGAGUGAUGAAGGCCUUCGGGUCGUAAAACUCUGUCCUCAAGGAAGAUAAUGACGGUACUUGAGGAGGAAGCCCCGGCUAACUACGUGCCAGCAGCCGCGGUAAUACGUAGGGGGCUAGCGUUAUCCGGAUUUACUGGGCGUAAAGGGUGCGUAGGCGGUCUUUCAAGUCAGGAGUGAAAGGCUACGGCUCAACCGUAGUAAGCUCUUGAAACUGGGAGACUUGAGUGCAGGAGAGGAGAGUGGAAUUCCUAGUGUAGCGGUGAAAUGCGUAGAUAUUAGGAGGAACACCAGUUGCGAAGGCGGCUCUCUGGACUGUAACUGACGCUGAGGCACGAAAGCGUGGGGAGCAAACAGGAUUAGAUACCCUGGUAGUCCACGCUGUAAACGAUGAGUACUAGGUGUCGGGGGUUACCCCCUUCGGUGCCGCAG